RNAcentral lists this ribosomal RNA (499 nucleotides) under uncultured bacterium. RNAcentral describes it as "bacterial SSU rRNA". It matches the Rfam family "Bacterial small subunit ribosomal RNA", at positions 28 to 507 of the family's 1533-position model. The record is from RNAcentral.
GACGAACGCUGGCGGCGUGCCUAAUACAUGCAAGUCGAGCGGACCAUGAGAAAGUUUACUUUCUUCUUGGUUAGCGGCGGACGGGUGAGUAACACGUGGGCAACCUACCUUGUAGAUUGGGAUAACUCCGGGAAACCGGGGCUAAUACCGAAUAAUCCAUUUUGCUUCAUGGCGAGAUGUUGAAAGACGGUUUCGGCUGUCACUAUAAGAUGGGCCCGCGGCGCAUUAGCUAGUUGGUAGGGUAAUGGCCUACCAAGGCGACGAUGCGUAGCCGACCUGAGAGGGUGAUCGGCCACACUGGGACUGAGACACGGCCCAGACUCCUACGGGAGGCAGCAGUAGGGAAUCUUCCACAAUGGACGAAAGUCUGAUGGAGCAACGCCGCGUGAGUGAAGAAGGUUUUCGGAUCGUAAAACUCUGUUGUAAGGGAAGAACACGUACGAGAGUAACUGCUCGUACCUUGACGGUACCUUAUUAGAAAGCCACGGCUAACUACGUG